AGAGUUUGAUCAUGGCUCAGAUUGAACGCUGGCGGCAGGCCUAACACAUGCAAGUCGAGCGGUAACAGGGGGUGCUUGCACCCCGCUGACGAGCGGCGGACGGGUGAGUAAUGCAUAGGAAUCUGCCCGAUAGUGGGGGAUAACCUGGGGAAACCCAGGCUAAUACCGCAUACGUCCUACGGGAGAAAGGGGGCUCCGGCUCCCGCUAUGGGAUGAGCCUAUGUCGGAUUAGCUAGUUGGUGAGGUAACGGCUCACCAAGGCCACGAUCCGUAGCUGGUCUGAGAGGAUGAUCAGCCACAUCGGGACUGAGACACGGCCCGAACUCCUACGGGAGGCAGCAGUGGGGAAUAUUGGACAAUGGGGGAAACCCUGAUCCAGCCAUGCCGCGUGUGUGAAGAAGGCCCUCGGGUUGUAAAGCACUUUCAGCGAGGAAGAACGCCUAGCGGUUAAUACCCGCUAGGAAAGACAUCACUCACAGAAGAAGCACCGGCUAACUCCGUGCCAGCAGCCGCGGUAAUACGGAGGGUGCAAGCGUUAAUCGGAAUUACUGGGCGUAAAGCGCGCGUAGGUGGCUUGAUAAGCCGGUUGUGAAAGCCCCGGGCUCAACCUGGGAACGGCAUCCGGAACUGUCAAGCUAGAGUGCAGGAGAGGAAGGUAGAAUUCCCGGUGUAGCGGUGAAAUGCGUAGAGAUCGGGAGGAAUACCAGUGGCGAAGGCGGCCUUCUGGACUGACACUGACACUGAGGUGCGAAAGCGUGGGUAGCAAACAGGGAUUAGA
This 778-nucleotide ribosomal RNA is filed under the name uncultured bacterium. Its description in RNAcentral is "bacterial SSU rRNA". It matches the Rfam family "Bacterial small subunit ribosomal RNA", at positions 8 to 782 of the family's 1533-position model. The record is from RNAcentral.